UAUCUCUGUAGAGUCUGCAUAUCAAUAAGCGGAGGAAAAGAAACUAACUAGGAUUCCCUCAGUGACGGCGAGUGAAGCGGGAAGAGCUCAAAUUUGAAAUCUUCAAGGUUCUACCUUGACGAACUGUAGUUUAAAGAAGUGUUUUCUGUUGGAGUUUUGGUAAAAGUUCUUCGGAAUAGGACAUCAUAGAGGGUGAGAAUCCCGUAUUUGACCAUUAUUUCCAGCUUUGUGAUACACUUUCAAAGAGUCGGAUUGUUUGGGAAUGCAGUCCAAAAUGGGUGGUAAAUUUCAUCUAAAGCUAAAUAUUGGCGAGAGACCGAUAGCGAACAAGUACCGUGAGGGAAAGAUGAAAAGAACUUUGAAAAGAGAGUUAAACAGUACGUGAAAUUGUCAAAAGGGAAGCGUUUGACACCAGUGUUGUUUUCUCGAAAAUCAAUUAAAAAAGGCAGGAUUUUGUGUUGUAUUGACUUUAUCAGCUUUCUGCACUCUUUUCUUGUCUUUUUUUAAUGCACUUUUCGUUUAACAAGUCAACAUCAAUUUCUUUUGUUGUAAAAGGGUCAUUGGAAGGUGGCUUUCUUUUCGGAGAAAGUGUUUAUAGCCUUUGGCCUCUGCAAUCGGAGAGAUUGAGGUCUGCAGCGUAGAUCCUUCGGGGUUAGAUACAUUUGUGCUAAGUUAUAGCCUUUCAUAGACAACUUGUUGACUAUGAUCAGUCAUGUAGCUUACUCGCUUAUGCUAUUUUACCUACGCUUAGGAUGUUGAAGAUGUAGCACAUCAU
Molecule: ribosomal RNA, 775 nt
Filed under: uncultured Neocallimastigales
Lineage: Eukaryota; Fungi; Neocallimastigomycota; Neocallimastigomycetes; Neocallimastigales
Description: partial large subunit ribosomal RNA
Rfam family: Eukaryotic large subunit ribosomal RNA
Source: RNAcentral